RNAcentral lists this long non-coding RNA (224 nucleotides) under Vigna radiata. RNAcentral's name for it is "long non-coding RNA (VRAD_LNC006498)". Lineage: Eukaryota; Viridiplantae; Streptophyta; Magnoliopsida; Fabales; Fabaceae. The record is from RNAcentral.
AGACAACUAAUUAAAAGAAAAGUGAUAAUGGGAGGAAGCCUCUGCACCACGUGCUCCAAGCAUGAAUUAAUUUUCUUCUCACAAUAUCACCACCAUACAAGACACCUACUACCACCUACCACCUCUUCAAUUGAAAUUAAAACAUUUCAUUGAAUGAAAGAAACAAAACCGUGGCCCCCUUGCUUCAACACUCAAUCAACCAUACUUCCUCAAACUAUUCCCAU